This 481-nucleotide ribosomal RNA is filed under the name uncultured bacterium. Its description in RNAcentral is "partial 16S ribosomal RNA". It matches the Rfam family "Bacterial small subunit ribosomal RNA", at positions 28 to 507 of the family's 1533-position model. The record is from RNAcentral.
GAUGAACGCUGGCGGCGUGCUUAACACAUGCAAGUCGAACGAAGCAUUUAGGACAGAUUACUUCGGUUUGAAGUUCUUUAUGACUGAGUGGCGGACGGGUGAGUAACGCGUGGGUAACCUGCCUUGUACUGGGGGAUAGCAGCUGGAAACGGCUGGUAAUACCGCAUAAGCGCACAAUGUUGCAUGACAUGGUGUGAAAAACUCCGGUGGUAUAAGAUGGACCCGCGUCUGAUUAGCUAGUUGGUGAGAUAACAGCCCACCAAGGCGACGAUCAGUAGCCGACCUGAGAGGGUGACCGGCCACAUUGGGACUGAGACACGGCCCAGACUCCUACGGGAGUCAGCAGUGGGGAAUAUUGCACAAUGGAGGAAACUCUGAUGCAGCGACGCCGCGUGAGUGAAGAAGUAAUUCGUUAUGUAAAGCUCUAUCAGCAGGGAAGAUAGUGACGGUACCUGACUAAGAAGCACCGGCUAAAUACGUG